Molecule: ribosomal RNA, 274 nt
Filed under: uncultured bacterium
Lineage: Bacteria
Description: partial 16S ribosomal RNA
Rfam family: Bacterial small subunit ribosomal RNA
Source: RNAcentral
AUACGUAGGGUCCAAGCGUUAAUCGGAAUUACUGGGCGUAAAGCGUGCGCAGGCGGUUGUGCAAGACCGAUGUGAAAUCCCCGGGCUUAACCUGGGAAUUGCAUUGGUGACUGCACGGCUAGAGUGUGUCAGAGGGAGGUAGAAUUCCACGUGUAGCAGUGAAAUGCGUAGAGAUGUGGAGGAAUACCGAUGGCGAAGGCAGCCUCCUGGGAUAACACUGACGCUCAUGCACGAAAGCGUGGGGAGCAAACAGGAUUAGAUACCCUAGUAGUCC